CUCGAAUGACGUCCGCAUUUAGUCUUCAAUUACAUGUGCUUCGGGGCAUUCCCCUGAUAAAAUCAUAAUAACUAAGGGGAUGACCUCUAGCCUCAAAAAAUAAAAAUAAAUAAACAACUUAAUAUUUGCCUACCCAAGUAUGGUCGGCCUAAACAUGCUCCUAGCGGAAGUAUCAAAUAAAGAUAUUAAUUUAAACUAUAACUCAAUUGAAUAAGGUGACAUGAUAAGAACAAUAAUCAAAACUUAAAUGGUAGACCACGUCCAUGUAAAGCCCAUAAUAUCAACCCAACAUUUACUUUAAUUUCAAUUUUUAGCCCAAACCACUAUUUGUUGCCUUAAUCAAUUUUCCAAAUCAGCUCGUGAGCCACAAAUUCAAUUUAGGCAGCUUAUGUUUCAACUCCAAAUUUACCACUUUAAUGUACUAAUUUCAAAUGACAACACUAUAAAGACAAACGUGGAAAUUAAUCCAAAGGCAAUGACAAAUUCAUCAAGAAUGCAGAUUCGUUCAAACCAAAAGCAACGUAGAACACCAAUACUUCUUGCACUAGUUAAAGAAAGAGAUAAGAAAUGGACCUCAAAUGGAGCUUUGCCAAUUACAUCAGCGAUGUAUGAAUAGGAACCGGGACCAGAGCUUGACCGGAAUACCUCUAACGGAAUGCCUCGCCGACAACCUCGCUACCUUGCAAACUUCUUUACUCAAAUUUACACCUUCUUGAGUUGCAGUAUAAAUUUGGAGUUCGAUUUGAGCUUGGUACGGGAUGCUCUGUCUCUGACUGAAUUGGUGACGGGGAAAGGAGGCUGUGGCAAUUGGGUUUCUACUGUGUGAAUGUGUGUUUAUGUUGGUGGAAAAUGAAGGGACAAUGGUGACUUAAUUAGACUAUGCACAUAAGGUAUUUGUAAAAAUGCCUAGCUAAAGAAAAAUAAAUGGGAAGAUGCUGGUGGUUUGGCAAUUCCCAUGCCGGAAAGGAGAUGAAGACACAGUAGUUAUGGAUGAAAACGACAACUAGUUAGGAGUUGGGUUCAACGGCAAAAAUGGAGUUGACGCCAACAACUCAUUUUUAAGUGGUUGUCAUGGUAUUUUCCGGUGGUCUAUGGUUGGUUUUAGUGAUGGAAAAGAUAACGGUUUCAAUGGAGAAAAUGAAGGCUAACAAUGGUGUUUUCAAUAGAAAAGAAAACUGUAUGCUAAAAUGAAGAAGGUUGGCUAUUUUCUCGCCUCUCUCCCUCUAUCUAUGCGUGUGUGCGUGUUUCCGACAAGUUGUGGUGAAGGGUAGAAGGAGAAGCGAUGGGUGCUGUGUGGCUGCUGCCCUUAAGGUUGGCAGCUC
Molecule: long non-coding RNA, 1322 nt
Filed under: Nicotiana tabacum (common tobacco)
Lineage: Eukaryota; Viridiplantae; Streptophyta; Magnoliopsida; Solanales; Solanaceae
Description: long non-coding RNA (NTAB_LNC008084)
Source: RNAcentral